UACGAGGGGGCGAGCGUUUGUUCGGAAUUAUUGGGCGUAAAGGGCGCGUAGGCGGUCGGAUAAGUCUUGUGUGAAAUCUUCGGGCUCAACUCGAAGUCUGCACAGGAAACUAUCUGGCUUGAGUGUGGGAGAGGUGAGUGGAAUUCCUGGUGUAGCGGUGAAAUGCGUAGAUAUCAGGAGGAACACCUGCGGUGUAGACGGCUUUCGUGGACCAUUGUUGACGCUGAGACACGAAAGCGUGGGUAGCAAACAGG
This 254-nucleotide ribosomal RNA is filed under the name uncultured bacterium. Its description in RNAcentral is "partial 16S ribosomal RNA". It matches the Rfam family "Bacterial small subunit ribosomal RNA", at positions 524 to 776 of the family's 1533-position model. The record is from RNAcentral.